GUCGUCACCGCGUCGACGGCCACCUCUACUUCGGCGGCCACCUCCGGUUGCAACUUUCUCAAGAUCAAAGUACGCAACGCGAUCAAGAAAUCUCACCAAGGCAGCAAAUACGACAUCGAGUCGUCCAAGUUCCAGGCCGCAGGUCACACCUGGAGCUUCUUCUUCCACCUCAACUCGAGCAAAUAUUCGGGCAACGACUACUCCACCGUGUGCCUCAAGCUCCACGCCGCCGACCCCGGCACCGCCGCCGCCGCCGGCGGCGGCAUCCGAACCAACGUCCGGUUCCGCAUGCCGUGCGUGCCUCCGACGAACGAGGUGAGGAGCUACGCGAUGUCGUUCCACGGCACCGGGAAGGCGGAGUACCGCUGCUUCACGUUCAUCCGCCACGACGUCCUGGCGAGCCAGUGGUCCAGCACCGAUGAUGAGUUCGCCAUCCACUGCGACGUCGCCGUCGUCGAGGAGGCCGCGGCGGGCGGCGACGAUGUCCACGGAGCUCGGGCCGGAUGA
This 507-nucleotide long non-coding RNA is filed under the name Oryza sativa Indica Group (long-grained rice). RNAcentral's name for it is "lncRNA OsZS97_10G007510". The record is from RNAcentral. Lineage: Eukaryota; Viridiplantae; Streptophyta; Magnoliopsida; Poales; Poaceae.